CACUAAAGCCAUUAACAUGUGCUCCAUUUUUUUCUUCUCUAAAUAGCUUCAAUUGCCCAUGUUCUCUUGUAUCUAUUCCAACAAUACAUUCAAGAUUAAGACCCUUAUUGGCUCAAAUGGCAGCAACUGGUGAAGUAGAGCCACAAGUCAUUGACUCACAUUUACAUGUCUGGGCAUCCCCACAAGAGGCUGCAGAAAAGUAUCCCUAUUUUCCUGGUCAAGAACCUAGUUUGACAGGUCAUGUCGAAUUUCUGCUGGAGUGUAUGGAAGAAGCAGGUGUUGAUGGAGCACUCAUUGUUCAGCCCAUUAAUCAUAAGUUUGAUCAUUCUUAUGUUACGAGUGUGCUGAAGAAGUUCCCUUCCAAAUUCGUCGGUUGUUGCCUCGCGAAUCCAGCAGAAGAUGGGAGCGGGAUAAAGCAUCUUGAAGAUCUGG
RNAcentral lists this unclassified non-coding RNA (432 nucleotides) under Hevea brasiliensis (rubber tree). The record is from RNAcentral. Lineage: Eukaryota; Viridiplantae; Streptophyta; Magnoliopsida; Malpighiales; Euphorbiaceae.